This 93-nucleotide transfer RNA is filed under the name Weizmannia acidilactici. Its description in RNAcentral is "tRNA-Ser". It matches the Rfam family "tRNA". From Rfam's summary of the family: Transfer RNA (tRNA) molecules are approximately 80 nucleotides in length. The record is from RNAcentral. Lineage: Bacteria; Bacillati; Bacillota; Bacilli; Caryophanales; Bacillaceae.
GGGGAAGUACUCAAGUUGGCCGAAGAGGCGCCCCUGCUAAGGGCGUAGGUCGCGUUUAGCGGCGCGAGGGUUCAAAUCCCUCCUUCUCCGCCA